RNAcentral lists this ribosomal RNA (253 nucleotides) under uncultured bacterium. RNAcentral's name for it is "partial 16S ribosomal RNA". It matches the Rfam family "Bacterial small subunit ribosomal RNA", at positions 524 to 776 of the family's 1533-position model. The record is from RNAcentral.
UACGUAAGGGGCGAGCGUUGUUCGGAAUUAUUGGGCGUAAAGGGCACGCAGGCGGUUAUACAAGUCUGAUGUUUAAGACCUGGGCUUAACCCAGGGGGUGCGUUGGAAACUGUAUGACUAGAAUCGUGGAGGGGGAGUCGGAAUUCCUAGUGUAGGGGUGAAAUCUGUUGAUAUUAGGAAGAACACCGGUGGCGAAGGCGGACUCCUGGCCGAAGAUUGACGCUGAGGUGCGAAAGCAUAGGGAGCAAACAGG